This 1180-nucleotide long non-coding RNA is filed under the name Equus caballus (horse). RNAcentral's name for it is "lncRNA (ENSECAG00000047879.1)". The record is from RNAcentral. Lineage: Eukaryota; Metazoa; Chordata; Mammalia; Perissodactyla; Equidae.
CAGGGUGGGAGCUCCCCGCACAGCAGCGCCCCACUCCAGGCACCCUCUCUGGGCGUCUCUCUGCUGAGAGCUGGGACAGGAGGGCAGAGCACCACCUUGUCUGACCUCAGCUGGGGAUGCGCGCAUCCACCGACUCCAAAGUUUAGCCGCUCUGCGCAUGUCCGCGAAUGAUCGCGAGAACGCCGCGAGUCUUCAUUGGGCGGUUACAAAUAACUUUUAGCGAACAGGCGAAUUCGCAAAGAUGGAAUCCGCGGGUAGAGAGGGUCGACUGUACUUGUUUCUCUCUCCUGUGUUUCUGGUAAUCUGGACGUUAAUUCUAAAGGCGUGACGGACAAAAAGAAGUAUCUGCAAAAGUAACAGGAGGGCUGGCGGAGUAAAAGUCAGGGACCGCUGGAAGCUGCUGCCACUACCACGGUUUCUACCAUUAGAACUGCCACUCCCACCCCCACAGCUGGUGACCAGGCGCUGGGAUGCCCAGUCUAGCCAGCGCCGUGUCUCUUAACUUUGCUCUGGCAGACGCUGCUGGCGGAAAUUCGGCCUGGGCCACCUCACCUUCUCUUCCAGCCUCACCCUCCUCCUGCUCCGGGAUAUUUCUGGCACUAAGAGCUGACUGCUGCCUCCCCUGCUCACAGCCCCGCCAUGGCUCCCAAGCACCCUCAGGGGAGACAAACUGCUCGGAAUGGUGUUGGAGGUCUGGGCUGUCCCAUCUCAAAUGUCCCAAUCCCAAAUUCAGAUACUGCAUGUGACAUUCUGCAUCCAAUUCCUCUUCUCCCCCAAGCCUCUGCCCCAAGGUCCCCUCUACCCAGAAUGCCUUUCUCUUGUCACCAUGGCCACCAUUCUGGUCUCCCAGACAACCCCUCUCAGGUUCUGGUGGCUUGUCUCCCCUCUCUAGCUCAGAGACCCAGGAAAGGGAGAGAGAGGUCACGUGAAUGAACGCGUGUGGCUCAGUCCCCAUGGCCAUGAACUUUCAGGAAGCUCAGCAAUGAGAAGACACAGGAUUCCCCAAUCCCAGAGCCCGGCCUUCGCCCCGGACCGUGACUCCGGCCUCUGAGACCAAAUAAAUGUGACCGAUCAGCACACCGUGCUCCAUCCCACUGCCCCACCCGUCACAGCCUCGCCGGCUCUGCUUCAGGGCCAGGCCCCUGGGUCUGAGGGAGGAGGGGCUGGGGCUGGACUCCUG